GGAGGGAGCGAACGUUGUUCGGGAAUUACUGGGGCGUAGAGGGGCGUGUAGGCGGUCGAGUAAGUCAGGUGUGAAAUCUUGCUGCUUAACAGUAAACCUGCAUUUGAAACUGCCCGACUUGAGGUCAGGAGAGGAGAGCGGAAUUCCCAGUGUAGCGGUGGAAUGCGUAGAUAUUGGGAAGAACACCAGUGGCGAAGGCGGCUCUCUGGACUGAUUCUGACGCUGAGGCGCGAAAGCUAGGGGAGCAAACAGGAUUAGAUACCCUGGUAGUCCUAGCCGUAAACGAUGGGCACUAGGUGCUGGGAAUAUCGACAUUUUCAGCGCCGUAGCUAACGCAUUAAGUGCCCCGCCUGGGGAGUACGACCGCAAGGUUG
This 374-nucleotide ribosomal RNA is filed under the name uncultured organism. RNAcentral describes it as "partial 16S ribosomal RNA". It matches the Rfam family "Bacterial small subunit ribosomal RNA", at positions 527 to 896 of the family's 1533-position model. The record is from RNAcentral.